Molecule: non-coding RNA, 253 nt
Filed under: uncultured bacterium
Lineage: Bacteria
Also listed under: 1 other name
Description: partial 16S ribosomal RNA
Rfam family: Bacterial small subunit ribosomal RNA
Source: RNAcentral
UACAGAGGUGGCAAGCGUUGUUCGGAAUUACUGGGCGUAAAGGGCGCGUAGGCGGUCUUUUAAGUUCCGUGUGAAAUCCCUCGGCUCAACUGGGGAACUGCACGGAAAACUGGGAGGCUUGAGUUCGGGAGAGGGAAGCGGAAUUCCGGGUGUAGCGGUGAAAUGCGUAGAUAUCCGGAGGAACACCGGUGGCGAAGGCGGCUUCCUGGACCGACACUGACGCUGAGGCGCGAAAGCUAGGGGAGCAAACGGG